RNAcentral lists this ribosomal RNA (497 nucleotides) under uncultured bacterium. Its description in RNAcentral is "partial 16S ribosomal RNA". It matches the Rfam family "Bacterial small subunit ribosomal RNA", at positions 28 to 507 of the family's 1533-position model. The record is from RNAcentral.
GGUGAACGCUGGCGGCGUGCCUAAUACAUGCAAGUCGAGCGAACGGACGAGAAGCUUGCUUCUUUGACGUUAGCGGCGGACGGGUGAGUAACACGUGGAUAACCCACCUAUAAGACUGGGAUAACUUCGGGAAACCGUAGCUAAUACCGGAUAAUAUUUUGAACCGCAUGGUUCAAUAGUGAAAGACGGCCUUGCUGUCACUUCUAGCUGGAUCUGCGCUGCAUUAGCUAGUUGGUACGGUAACGGCUUACCAAGGCAACGAGGCAUAGCCGACCUGGGAGGGUGAUCGGCCACACUGGAACUGAGACACGGUCCAGACUACUACGGGAGGCAGCAGUAGGGAAUCUUCCGCAAUGGGCGAAAGCCUGACGGAGCAACGCCGCGUGAGUGGUGAAGGUCUUCGGAUCGUAAAACUCUGUUAUUAGGGAAGAACAUAUGUGUAAGUAACUGUGCACAUCUUGACGGUACCUAAUCAGAAAGCCACGGCUAACUACGUG